GGCAUCUCUCUCCCCAAAAUCCAAACCGAGACGCGAGCCCCUGCCCUGCCCCCUGUCCUCCUGCGGCGUUCCAGUUGGAGAGCAAUGCCGGGGCCCAGGAGCAGGAAGCGCGCGGCCGCGGAGGCCGGCGGCUCGAGCAGGACGGCGAAGCCGGCGCCGGCGAGGCGGGGGACGGCCAGGCCGGGGACGGCGGCGCCGGAGCGCUUCGCCGAGAGGCGGAACCUGGAGGAUCUUUGGUUGUCGGCCUUCCCCAUUGGAACCGAGUGGGAAAACAUUGACAAGAUAAAGGAGUUCAACUGGAACUUUCAAAAUUUAGAGAAAGCUCUAGAGGAAGGGGGAGAGCUGUAUGGGAAGACAGUUUACUUAUUUGCAAACACCGAACCUCAGCAAUUGCAUGUUAAUGGCGAACAGAAGAUGGCUGAUUGUCCUUGCGCCCCUUCAGAUAAAGUUGGUAUAAAUUCUGUCCAAAGGGCACAUGAAGAAAUACUACCAAUGAGAGCAAUGAAGAUGUCCUGGGUGCCCUAUGUUCCACUCGAGGACCGGCUCAGCAGGAUUGAGGGUUUGAAAACAAAAAUAUUCACUCUUCAUUGCUCCCAGCGAAGGUCUGCACUGAAGCAUCUAAAAACUGAGCGAGUCAGGAAGUUUGACUACUGCAUGCCAUGA
This 663-nucleotide ribosomal RNA is filed under the name Triticum aestivum (bread wheat). Its description in RNAcentral is "partial small subunit ribosomal RNA". Lineage: Eukaryota; Viridiplantae; Streptophyta; Magnoliopsida; Poales; Poaceae. The record is from RNAcentral.